GAAUCUAUGUUUAUGUCAAUGAGGCAAUUUUUGUCUCCAGCAAGAAAAAAAUGCUAGUUAGAGGCCGACUGCUUCCUUCUGAACGAUCAAACUUGUCAUGCCACCAUGUCUGCCGUGUGCCCACUUAUGCUGGGAAUGUGUUGUUGGAGUCUGGAAGAAUGACGGGGGAGUUGCUCUUCAUGACGGGAGAGGAUGAAAAAGCUGCUCUGAUGUCUCACGGACGUGACAGCGGAUCUGAUGAAAAAAUGUGCAGUGAUGAUAAUGCAAUGUUAAAUGGCUGAACAUUUCUGCAAGGAGGGGGCCACCAGCUGCAAGGAAUGGAAGAUGCAACUCAGUGCACCAUUUUGGCUGUUUUGUGAAC
This is a long non-coding RNA of Cyprinus carpio carpio, 361 nucleotides long. Lineage: Eukaryota; Metazoa; Chordata; Actinopteri; Cypriniformes; Cyprinidae. The record is from Ensembl.